Molecule: ribosomal RNA, 253 nt
Filed under: uncultured bacterium
Lineage: Bacteria
Description: partial 16S ribosomal RNA
Rfam family: Bacterial small subunit ribosomal RNA
Source: RNAcentral
UACGUAGGGUGCAGGCGUUAAUCGGAAUUACUGGGCGUAAAGCGUGCGCAGGCGGUUUCUUAAGUCAGAUGUGAAAGCCCCGGGCUUAACCUGGGAAUGGCGGUUGAAACUACAGGACUAGAAUCUGGCAGAGGGGGGUGGAAUUCCACGUGUAGCAGUGAAAUGCGUAGAGAUGUGGAGGAACACCGAUGGCGAAGGCAGCCCCCUGGGCUGAGAUUGACGCUCAGGCACGAAAGCGUGGGGAGCAAACAGG